This 127-nucleotide small RNA is filed under the name Marmota monax (woodchuck). The record is from RNAcentral. Lineage: Eukaryota; Metazoa; Chordata; Mammalia; Rodentia; Sciuridae.
GCCAGGCGGGUUGGUGCCUGCCUAUAAUCCCAGCAGCUCGGGAGGCUGAGGCAGGAGGAUCGAGAGUUCAACGCCAGCCUCAGCAACUCAGUGAGGCCCUAAGCAACUCGGGGAGACCCUGUCUCUA